CCUACGGGAGGCAGCAGUGAGGAAUAUUGGGCAAUGGACGCAAGUCUGAACCAGCCAUGCCGCGUGCAGGAAGACGGCCCUAUGAGUUGUAAACUCCUUUUGUACGAGGGUAAACGCAGAUACGCGUAUCUGUCUGAAAGUAUCGUACGAAUAAGGAUCGGCUAACUCCGUGCCAGCAGCCGCGGUAAUACGGAGGAUUCAAGCGUUAUCCGGAUUUAUUGGGUUUAAAGGGUGCGUAGGCGGUCGGAUAAGUUAGAGGUGAAAUCCCGAGGCUCAACUUCGGAAUUGCCUGUGAUACUGUUCUGCUAGAGAGUAGGUGCGGUAGGCAGAAUGUAUGGUGUAGCGGUGAAAUGCUUAGAUAUCAUACAGAACACCGAUUGCGAAGGCAGCUUACUAAGCUACUUCUGACGUUGAGGCACGAAAGCGUGGGGAGCAAACAGGAUUAGAUACCCUUGUAGUC
Molecule: ribosomal RNA, 460 nt
Filed under: uncultured bacterium
Lineage: Bacteria
Description: partial 16S ribosomal RNA
Rfam family: Bacterial small subunit ribosomal RNA
Source: RNAcentral